GUGAGUACUUCUUAUUACUAUUGCUAUGAUUAUUAGUUUUAUUUUCAAAAGAGGAAACUGAGAUUUUGCCAGAUUAAGAGAUUUCUCUACAAGCUACUAGCCAUGAAAGGGAAAAUCCAGAAUUCAAGUUGAGAUUUCUGGAACCAAAGAGGAAACUGAACGUAAGAGGGAAGGAAGAAAUCAAGGAAACUGAAGUCCCCCUGUGGGAGAGGGGGCCCCGGACUGCGAGAGCCGGAAGUGGAGGAAAGCCCGCUGGGCGGCUCCCGCUCCCUCGCUUUUGUUCUCGGAGAGGCCCAGGAUGUUGACCGCCAACUUCCCUCAUCUGAUGAGUGAAGUGUAAUAAAUGUGUGCUUUUCUGUUUUGUGCAAAUGUGAGGUCAUUUCCAAAAUUAGCCUGUCCAACUGCUGAAAUCCCCGAGUUCCCAAACUCUCAGCAGGAAACAGGCCGUGGACGUCCAGAUGUUUCUCCUCACAGUGUUCGUCAGCAGCGAAUGUGGAACACCCUUUCUGUCCUGCCAUACCCUGGGUGCUGGGAUACAACGACAAGAGAAGAACAAGCAUCAGAACAUGUGUGUGCAACCAAAGACCAUCGCAGCCCCAGACCAUCUGCGCAAGAAGAGCCUGGGCAAGUGCUGGUUGAAGAGGGACGUCUUGAAGGCACGUUUGCACAAAUCACUCUUAAUUGGAUGAAAAAGUGUGCCGAUCCCUGGAGCAGGUCUUCCAAAGCACAGAAGACAACGAUCUUUAAGACAAGAGCGCUGCCUCCUUCCUUUGCAGACCACCACCUCAUCACUUCAAUUUCCUCUAAAGAAAACAAACUGUUUUUCUCAUAUUUCAUGGCUUUGAGGUUUAUUCCAAGCCUUGCCAGUGGCCUCAGGCUCCUCGUUGCCUUAUUUGAAACAAGAGAUAUAGAGCAGCCGAGACAGAUGACGAUGUGGAGAGGGAAGGAGGCGAGACGGGGCCCACGCUCAGACUCCCUAAAUCCACGAGGGAAACUUCCUUCUGUUGGCACCAGUUCAAAACGAUGCGAUGUGGCCUUUUCUAAAGCUUCGCACUAUUUUUAUUGCAGUAAAAUGUUUAUUGUGUUUACAGAGAGAAUUGUUGUCUUAAAACUGAUGUUUACUAUGGUAGGGUUUGACCUGUGCUUGGUGAAGCUAUGUUUUAAAAUAAUACACUCAAGUUUAUGAAGGAAACCUCAACUCUUCCCAAAGAGAGAAACUGAAGGGUUUUUUUGCUGAAAUAAGUAUUUCAUUAGGUUAGAAAAAUUGAUAUAUUUUUGUUAUUUAAUGACUUCAUCACGCUCUGUGAAAUGCAUCACUCCAUUUUAUCUGCUCUUUGUCUGGAAUCACCACAUGCUACUAACUGGCUCCUCUUUAUUCUUUGCUACACUACAGAAAUUCUUUAUCAUUUAACUUUAUCACAGGCAGGCAGAGCCUGGUUCCUAUUAGAGAGAUAAGGACUGUUUCCUUAAUUACUGUACAUAGAAAACAGCAUUUAGUCUGGCAGUUCCCACACUAUUCAAUCAGGCAAGAUUCGAUAUGAAAAAAUACAGCUGAUUUGCCAAAUCAGACAUUUGUUCCACACAAGUCCGUUAUAACUCACGUUAUAAAUGAAACAAGUCAUGGAGGCACUUAUCAGUACUUAUCAGUACGCGCCUGCGAUCACAUUCUGUUUUUCGAAGUUGACGCUCUCAGGAGCGCUUCUUGCUGGAAGUUCUCUCUGACAAUUAUGGAGGGAUCCCCACGCCGGCGUCCACCUGACCGAAGAGAACAAGACAGCCGCGUGGGCCAUUUCAGAAAUCACCACUUUCUAGCUAAUCGCAGUUUCCAAAUUCAACCUACUGGUGCUGCCGAGAGCGAGAAGAACUUCCCUAAUCGGAUCCUGGCCGCAUUGUGACUCACACUGCUGACUGCCCCCCACCCCCCACCCGGUGCCUCCACUCUCCCUCGUGGGGCCGGCACAGCACCUGCCCAAGGACCUCUCCCUGCGUCCUGGGGAUGUGUUGGCAGCACCGUGAUCGAUGAGUUAUUGAGGCCCUUGCUUUUUACCAAAAGAACUUUUUGUGGAAGGCAAAAUUUUUUCCAGGGGAGAAAUGCAGAUGCAGCAUUAUGCAAUUUUGUUAACGAGUUAGGAGGAUGGUGUAAUGCAAAUGGUGGAUAAAACGAGCAAACCGGGGAAAGAGAGCAAGCCGACGACUGGAAUUAAGGGGUAGUAAGUCGAAGAAAGCUCCGAACCGCUGGUGCACUGGAGGGACAGUGAUCAAGGGGACCCUGGGAGCAGUAUUCCUACUCCACUGAAGGGGGGAGCUGAGAUACUUGUAAGCUCUAGAGAACCUCUAACACAGGAAGCUAUUUAUCAUAACAAGCCUGGUUGAUACCGCUCCCAUACUGAACCAAUUAGGUUCGCCCGUUUCGUCAUACUUCAUAACUCGCGGUGAUAGGUCUCUGAGUAUGGUACAGUGUAGUAAUUGAAUUUUGAUCAAACACACAUGGCCCAUAACCCAGUAUGUGAAAUUUUCAGAACAGUUCACAGCUUUUAAAUAUCCAGUCAACAUGUUGCCAAAAGUACAGGAUGUACUUGAUGGAAGGGGGAGAGCGAGGGGAGGGCUGAAUCUUGGUAGAGCUGUAAAACAAAUAUUUUUGUUCUUGUUCUCUUCUUAUUUUUCAAAUAGCAGUGGAGAAAGGCCAUGGGAUAUCGUGUCAUAACUCAAGUCUUCCCCUUGCUUGCCCUACGUGCGUAAACAUCUUUGAGUCUCAUUUCAGAUUACCAUUUAUUUUUUGGCAGGAAACUAUUUUCAUGCCACAGGCCUGUUACACAUGACCUGCUAGUAUUUCUCACUGCAGCACCACCCAAAGAGGAUUUCCCAACAACCCACUACAUGCCAGGCACCAGAUAAAUAGGCAAACUCUUUCGAACAAAGACACAUCAUCCUUGCCUCCAUGUGGUCAUCAAUUUUUUUACAUUGCAACCUGUGAUAAUCAACAUGAAGGAAAAAUAGGGCAUUAGGAGGGACAGUAACGGGGAUCUGAUUUAUCCAGGAGAGAUGGAGUGGAGAGGAGAAGCAGGGAACACGUCUCCAAGGAAGUACCAUUGAAAUUGACUUCUGAAAGAUGAGAAGUGGUCCAAGAGAGUGAACUGAGCAUUCCCAGGAGAAGUGGCACGUGGAUAAGCCUUGAAGUAGGCAAGACUUUGUCAAGUUCAAGGACCUGAAGGCUGGGACACACAGUGAGAGAAAAGGCUAAAAAGAUAGUUGGGAGCCAGACUACAUGAGGCCGUGUAAAGAAUUCUGCUAAGUGCAGCCAUUGAAAGGCAGGAGGCCAGGGAGUGACAUGAUGGGAGGCAGGCAAGACAAGAAGCAGAAAGACUAACUAGAAGGGCUUGGCAAUUGUCCAGGUGGGAAGAGAUAGCGGCUUGGAACAGGGCAAUGGCAGAGGAGAAUGGUGGACAAAUCUGAGAGUCGUUUUGGAGAAGUGACAUGACUUUGUGAUAACUGGACAUGAAAGUGACAGAGAGGGGGGUUCCAAGGACAUUUCUGGGUUUCUAGCUUGAGCAACUUAGUGAAUAAAGUCUAAUAAAUAACAACCUAUCAAUAUAACUCUUAAGGCUACACCAAGCAAUAGGAGAACCACAUCUCUCUCCAGCCCCGUGUUUGCAACGAGGCGCUGCUCUCACCGGAUUUUGUGGGGACAGAUGCAUUGAUCAGUGCCGGGGGAACAGAAAUUUCCCACCUACAUGCGCAUCAAAGCUUCCUUACAUAAGCAGAAGAACGUCUCUGAGCUACGAAAAUCAGAUUUUCACAUAAACUUUAAAUUUUUACCCUCAGUUCUACAGACAUGGCCAUAGAUGCCAGGCAGCUGAACUAUGAGAACCUAAAAGAAAACCAAUUGUCCCUUUGAAAACGUUCAAAACCCAGGCAUGUUUCCUUAUUCAUUCAAUAGAUUUCUCCCGAGUGUUUUUAGUGUGGGGGGAAUGGGGUGAGUAAGAUGUGCCCCCUGUGUUGGCAAAGCGUAUAUUCUAUAGAGAGAAAGAGACAUAAAAGCUAUGCCUAACACAGCGUGGUGUGUUACACAGAUCCAGCAGUAGAGGUGUACUUAACAGAUGACAGGGUUAUUAACUCUGCAGAGGGAGUGGCCCAAGGGCACGGCAACGAAAGACUUCAGAGAGGUUGCAUUUGGGACCAGUCUUGAAAGACAAACAAGAGUUUGUGAAGCAGAGAAGAGGAUGGGGAGAAACUCCAAGAGGAGGAAACAGCACGAGCCCAGGUGUGAGGGUGCUAAGGAGGGCCGGCUGCUCGGGGCCAGAGCCCUCAGGGAGAGGCCGUGGGGGUCUGAUUCCAGACCGGAAGAGCCAUCCUUCCAUUCCAAAGGCUGAAAACCAGUCCAGUCUGAUGUAUCCACUAUUGCCUGACCCAGGUGGAGAAUUCUAAUUCGUGUAGGCCCAACCCAACAAAGACUUCUUAAUGUGACUACUGCCUGAAGACUGCCCGUGUCCAUGACAGCUUUGGGUUUACCCAUUGAGAUGGGCAGUCCUCUCUCCCACAGUCAGUCCCACAACUUGGCCAAGGCUACAGGACCCAGCUUUCUAAAGUGCCUAGAAAGACGUAGCAGUGGCCCAAGGUGACGCUCCUGUGGCUGGAGAAUGUGGACACUGGAAUGACUGUGACAUUCAGUCCGGCAAGUGGUACAGCUGCCCUUGUACAGCAAACCGUCAGACACAGUGAGUGACCACCAUCCCCAGAAAAAGUGUGUGUGCAUGUGCGAUCUUUAAAUUUUAACAGCUAUUCCGACAGUCCUCAGAGAGAGAAUUGGCAGCUUGGGCCUGGAGAAUGCUCCCCACCUGUCUCCAGGCCCCGCAAACACAGCUGUGUAAGAAGACAGUCAAAGCUUCCAAGGAAAGAAAUGGUGCUGUUUGCAGGGGCGGAGGACGGGGGAGAAACUAGGGGAGGGCCCUUCUUGCAAACCGCUGAGGCAGGGCCCGUCCAGCAACUGCGAAAAUUAGCAAGGAGGACGUGGUCAGGCUUUCUGUUUUUAACUUCACGUUAAGUAAAAUCAUUCAAGACCCAGCUCAACGACCACAUUAACACCAGUCUUAAACGGAUGAGACAGAGCACAUGGUUCAGGCCAAGGGGAGCACAGGGCCACCUGCGUUUCUAGAGGCACCCAUCCGGGUUUUCCCCUGCGUCCGUAUGAACCGUCACAGGACGCACGGUCCCUCACACAGAACUUCCUGGGAAAGUGCCCAGAAACCCCUUUAUCUGUGUUUCUCCAGGCAUUUUUAAAGUUCAGCUCUUUGGGGAAGUCGGCAGACGCAGAUUUCCACGACGCCGAUUCCAUGGCAGGCUUCCAGAGCGGCCAGGGGUUUGCUGCCCCCCCAGGAAGGGAGAUGCGAAGACGGAAAGAAUCAGCUCAUUGCCGAGGAGGAAAACCGAAGCAGGGGGGUAUUUUCAGUAUCAUUUUAAUCACAAAAUAGCACGAACGUAGUCUGUGCCUGCGUGCCACCCGAGUGUCGAUUUGAAUACCACUGCACGCUGGUUUGAAAAUUUCCAUUUUUGUAAUUUGCUUUCCUUUGUUAAGCCAAGACUGGAGAGAAACCUGGCAGCCGUCUCCAAGUCUGGCACGAUUUCGCCUCAGACGCACUCGGUUGGUUGGAUGCUGAAGGAGCCUGCCUGAGAGAAGGGGAGAGAGCGAAGGGGCGAGAAGGAUGGGGAGAGAGGGAGAGGAGAGAGAAGGCACCGCUUUUGGCCGGGUGGAGGCCCACAGCCCCUCAGCCAGGGGGUUUGGCUCCAUCUACAGGAAUCACAAGGCAAACAGACCAGAUCCCUCUGCUCAGAAACCAGCUGGGGUUGGGGGCCUCUGGCAACGCCUCUGACAAUGGCCUGGAGAAUAUCCAGCCGGUGGGAACGGGUGGUAAGGAGUUGAAAGGUAGGGCUCUCCAUCUCCGGACCGGGAGAGGCAUGUCAGAUUCUGCAUGGGGAUUCGUGUCUGAGGAGAAAGGCAUCGUGCCUCCUCCUGUAACCCAUGGAUUGCUCUAACUGGUGAAGUGGAAGCCAUCUUUGAGGGCACAGGCAGUGUGUGGUCCCAGCAUGGGCCCAGCACACACUGUGCGCUCUGCUGUUGAAUGAAUGAAGGAACAACAGGUGAACCUAGCCCGCUGGACCAUCUAUCAAUCAACAGAGACCUAACUGAUAAACAUAAACCCUAUUUGCUUUCCAGCUGUACUUGUCAGGCACUUUGUUAAUGGCUAGUAACAGCUGAGCAAGCCCGCAGCACCUAGGCUAGUCCAGCGCCCCACCCCCAGCGAGGGUAGCAUGACCUAAGAGCCACCCAUUUCAUCUGAUGCCCUCAUUGUGCAGAUGAGUAAACACAGGAUCAGAGAGGUUUCUCCCCCCAGGUCAACCAGCUUGUUGGUGACAGAACUGGUUUGGGGCCCACUUUUCCUCAGCUUCUCUCUGAUGUUUGUUUUCUAAGGCCUCACUGUGACGGGCCUCACGGAUCCGCUCAGCUGAUUGGCUCUCUGCGGAGGAAGCCAGCUUCCCCACCUCCCUGUUGUCCUGUCCCAGCUUCUGCUCUGGGCCAAGGCAGAUGCUCAGGCUGCUUUGCUCCAAAAAUCAAAUGCUGCCUGGAGCUGAUGCCAACUGAUGGCUG
Molecule: long non-coding RNA, 6643 nt
Filed under: Equus caballus (horse)
Lineage: Eukaryota; Metazoa; Chordata; Mammalia; Perissodactyla; Equidae
Description: lncRNA (ENSECAG00000050868.1)
Source: RNAcentral